Molecule: ribosomal RNA, 301 nt
Filed under: uncultured bacterium
Lineage: Bacteria
Description: partial 16S ribosomal RNA
Rfam family: Bacterial small subunit ribosomal RNA
Source: RNAcentral
CAGUCGCCACGGUAAUACGAGGGGGGCAAGCGUUGUUCGGAUUUAUUGGGCGUAAAGGGUGCGUAGGCGGUUUGGCAAGUCUUGUGUGAAAUCUUCGGGCUCAACCCGAAGCCUGCACGAGAAACUACCGGGCUUGAGUAUUGGAGAGGUGAGUGGAAUUUCCGGUGUAGCGGUGAAAUGCGUAGAUAUCGGAAGGAACACCUGUGGCGAAAGCGGCUCACUGGACAAUAACUGACGCUGAUGCACGAAAGCUAGGGGAGCAAACAGGAUUAGAUACCCGCGUAGUCCCUGUCUCUUAUAC